RNAcentral lists this ribosomal RNA (465 nucleotides) under uncultured bacterium. Its description in RNAcentral is "partial 16S ribosomal RNA". It matches the Rfam family "Bacterial small subunit ribosomal RNA", at positions 338 to 795 of the family's 1533-position model. The record is from RNAcentral.
CCUACGGGUGGCAGCAGUGGGGAAUAUUGCGCAAUGGGCGAAAGCCUGACGCAGCGACGCCGCGUGAGGGAUGAAGGUCUUCUGAUCGUAAACCUCUGUCAGCAGGGAAGAACGGUCACUGUGCUAAUCAGCAGUGAAUUGACGGUACCUGCAAAGGAAGCACCGGCUAACUCCGUGCCAGCAGCCGCGGUAAUACGGAGGGUGCGAGCGUUAAUCGGAAUUACUGGGAGUAAGGCGCUCGUAGGCGGUAUGUCAAGUCAAGGGUGAAAUCCCCGCGCUCAACGUGGGAACUGCCUUUGAAACUGGCAAACUGGAGUGUGUGAGCGGAUAGUGGAAUUCCAGGUGUAGGAGUGAAAUCCGUAGAUAUCUGGAGGAACAUCAGUGGCGAAGGCGACUAUCUGGAACAUAACUGACGCUGAGGAGCGAAAGCGUGGGUAGCAAACAGGAUUAGAUACCCUUGUAGUC